Molecule: ribosomal RNA, 521 nt
Filed under: uncultured bacterium
Lineage: Bacteria
Description: bacterial SSU rRNA
Rfam family: Bacterial small subunit ribosomal RNA
Source: RNAcentral
UGAUCGGCCACACUGGGACUGAGACACGGCCCAGACUCCUACGGGAGACAGCAGUUAGGAAUAUUCGUCAAUGGGGGAAACCCUGAACGAGCAAUGCCGCGUGAAUGAAGAAGGCCCUAUGGGUUGUAAAAUUCUGUUGUAUGGAAAGAAAUGUAAAGUUAGGAAAUGAACUUUACUUGACGGUACCAUUCAAGAAAGCCACGGCUAACUACGUGCCAGCAGCCGCGGUAAUACGUAGGUGGCGAGCGUUAUCCGGAUUUAUUGGGCGUAAAGGGUGCGUAGGCGGUAUGUUAAGUAUAAAAUAAAAGCCCGAAGCUUAACUUCGGUUCGUUUUAUAAACUGUCAAACUAGAGUACAGUAGAGGCAAAUGGAAUUCCUAGUGUAGUGGUAAAAUGCGUAGAUAUUAGGAGGAACACCAGUGGCGAAGGCGAUUUGCUGGGCUGUAACUGACGCUGAGGCACGAAAGCGUGGGGAGCAAAUAGGAUUAGAUACCCUAGUAGUCCACGCCGUAAACGAUGAGU